GCAUGAUUCACUGGAUGAUUAACAGAACGUGAUUCCUCGUCUGCAUCUUCAUCUUUCACCCAAUCAAAGAAUCCACAGUCAUCGCUACAGGCGAAGAACAGACGCCCUUUGUUACCAAUAUCUCGUUCAACCUCAAAAUAUUUUCAAUAUUCGUGGUCACAACUAGGGUAUCGGCAUUUUGAGUGGCAUUGUCCAAAAUAGUGCGUGUUGCUUCUACAACCAUGACAAACUCCAAAAUUUCUUCCUCUCAUUCUACUCGAUGACUGCAAAUGAAACAAUGUGAGUCCAUCAUCAGUAUGAAAAUCCAGAGCAUACAACUCAAUCAUUACAUGCCAAUUCCAAACAAUAGAAAAAAGGGCCACAUUAACUAUGACAUCUUUUAUUUAUUUCUUUUUCACAAUAGUUACUUCUUCAUGAUUUUCACUUUAAGUAUUAAAAAAUGUCACGGUUCUUUUAAGCCAAAAGCUUAUGACUCUGUUAAAGAAUUAAAAGUGAAUCAAGGCACAAAGACAGG
This 514-nucleotide long non-coding RNA is filed under the name Olea europaea (common olive). RNAcentral's name for it is "long non-coding RNA (OEUR_LNC012179)". The record is from RNAcentral. Lineage: Eukaryota; Viridiplantae; Streptophyta; Magnoliopsida; Lamiales; Oleaceae.